Molecule: ribosomal RNA, 274 nt
Filed under: uncultured bacterium
Lineage: Bacteria
Description: partial 16S ribosomal RNA
Rfam family: Bacterial small subunit ribosomal RNA
Source: RNAcentral
AUACGGAGGGGACAAGCGUUAUUCGGAAUCACUGGGCGUAAAGGACGCGUAGGCGGGUUAUUAAGUCGGGUGUGAAAUCCUACAGCUCAGCUGUAGAACUGCAUUCGAAACUGAUAACCUAGAGUAUGGAAGGGGCAGGUGGAAUUAGUGGUGUAGGGGUAAAAUCCGUAGAUAUCACUAGGAAUACCGAAAGCGAAGGCGACCUGCUGGGACAUUACUGACGCUGAGGCGUGAAAGCGUGGGGAGCAAACAGGAUUAGAAACCCUAGUAGUCC